AGGAAUUUUCGGCAAUGGAGGAAACUCUGACCGAGCAACGCCGCGUGAACGAUGAAGUAUUUAGGUACGUAAAGUUCUUUUAUUAAAGAAGAAAAAAUGAUGGAAAAAUCAUUCUGACGGUAUUUAAUGAAUAAGCCCCGGCUAACUAUGUGCCAGCAGCUGCGGUAAUACAUGGGGGGCAAGCGUUAUCCGGAUUUAUUGGGCGUAAAGGGUGCGUAGGCGGUUAAAUAAGUCUAUGGUAUAAGUUCAACGCUUAACGUUGUGAUGCUAUAGAAACUGUUUGACUAGAGUUGGAUAGAGGCAAGUGGAAUUCCAUGUGUAGCGGUAAAAUGCGUAAAUAUAUGGAGGAACACCAGUAGCGAAGGCRGCUYKCUGGGUCYYWACYGACGCUGRRGYRCGAAAGCRUGGGGAGCRAACRG
Molecule: ribosomal RNA, 419 nt
Filed under: Candidatus Phytoplasma prunorum
Lineage: Bacteria; Bacillati; Mycoplasmatota; Mollicutes; Acholeplasmatales; Acholeplasmataceae
Description: partial 16S ribosomal RNA
Rfam family: Bacterial small subunit ribosomal RNA
Source: RNAcentral